This 449-nucleotide ribosomal RNA is filed under the name uncultured bacterium. RNAcentral's name for it is "partial 16S ribosomal RNA". It matches the Rfam family "Bacterial small subunit ribosomal RNA", at positions 338 to 795 of the family's 1533-position model. The record is from RNAcentral.
CCUACGGGCGGCAGCAGUGGGGAAUUUUGGACAAUGGGCGCAAGCCUGAUCCAGCCAUGCCGCGUGCAGGAUGAAGGCCUUCGGGUUGUAAACUGCUUUUGUACGGAACGAAAAGCCCCCUUCUAAUAAAGGGGGGUGAUGACGGUACCGUAAGAAUAAGCACCGGCUAACUACGUGCCAGCAGCCGCGGUAAUACGUAGGGUGCAAGCGUUAAUCGGAAUUACUGGGCGUAUAGCGUGCGCAAGCGGUGAAAUCCCCGGGCUCAACCUGGGAACUGCCUUUGUGACUGCAUAGCUUGAGUGCGGCAGAGGGGGAUGGAAUUCCGCGUGUAGCAGUGAAAUGCGUAGAUAUGCGGAGGAACACCGAUGGCGAAGGCAAUCCCCUGGGCCUGCACUGACGCUCAUGCACGAAAGCGUGGGGAGCAAACAGGAUUAGAUACCCCUGUAGUC